RNAcentral lists this transfer RNA (65 nucleotides) under human gut metagenome. It matches the Rfam family "tRNA", at positions 7 to 64 of the family's 71-position model. From Rfam's summary of the family: Transfer RNA (tRNA) molecules are approximately 80 nucleotides in length. Their secondary structure includes four short double-helical elements and three loops (D, anti-codon, and T loops). The record is from RNAcentral.
GCUUGUAGCUCAGCUGGUUAGAGCGCACGCCUGAUAAGCGUGAGGUCGAUGGUUCAAGUCCAUUC